UCCCUGGUGUUCUAGUGGUUAGGACUCGGCACUUUCACUACUGUGGCUCAGGUUCAAUUCCUGGUUUGGGAA
This 72-nucleotide transfer RNA is filed under the name Sus scrofa (pig). It matches the Rfam family "tRNA". Rfam says of the family: Transfer RNA (tRNA) molecules are approximately 80 nucleotides in length. Their secondary structure includes four short double-helical elements and three loops (D, anti-codon, and T loops). Further hydrogen bonds mediate the characteristic L-shaped molecular structure. tRNAs have two regions of fundamental functional importance: the anti-codon, which is responsible for specific mRNA codon recognition, and the 3' end, to which the tRNAs corresponding amino acid is attached (by aminoacyl-tRNA synthetases). tRNAs cope with the degeneracy of the genetic code in two manners: having more than one tRNA (with a specific anti-codon) for a particular amino acid; and 'wobble' base-pairing, i.e. permitting non-standard base-pairing at the 3rd anti-codon position. The record is from Rfam by way of RNAcentral. Lineage: Eukaryota; Metazoa; Chordata; Mammalia; Artiodactyla; Suidae.